UAAAAGGAUUUGGGGCCGAGCAAGCCGAGAAGGCGCUGCAGGGGCUCCCAGACUCCGGCCCAGGUCGCUCGGCUCUGGUUGUAAGGAGCCACUCUGCCCUGGAGGGGAGGGCAGAGGCCACCCAGACCCAGAGACGUCUUCCUGGGGUGGGGGACAGUAGGGACCAGACUUUUUCUCCUCCUCUUCUUUCCUUUAUGAGCCAUGGCAUUCCUCUUGCGUCACAGCUGGGCUCAAGUGGCUCAGUUCAUCCAGCCUUCACCUUUAGGGGCCACCCACGCCUCCUCCCAAGAUGACUGCCAAGCCCUUUCCUCUGAAUUCCUCAUGGAGUGCCUGGCUUUCUUCUCAAGAGGAACAGCCCUUCUGCCUCUGAAGUGGGGCCCGGAGACCCACGAUGCUGUGCAGAUCAGUUGGAGAGAAGCUUGAACUAGCAGACUUCCACCUUCCCCACCCCAGGAGCUGUCAACCUCAUCGGUGGCCCAGCCCUCUCAGAGAGGAGGGAGAUUAGCCAAGGUUGGCGGGAGCAGGGGACGGGGGUCCUCUAGCCCACACCCCAGGGAAGGCUGGGUGGAGGAAGGAGGGGACAACCCAGGCCCUUGGCCUUCGCCUCCUACUCCCUCACCCCGCCCCCACCCCUGCAUCCCAAAGGAAGCCCUGUCUGCCCUCCUCUGCUUUCCUUCCAGCCCCUUUCCCUGCCCCUCCCAGCAAGGAUUUAUGGUUUUAAUAAUCCAGGCUUUCUCCACCAGCCUCCCUUGCUGUUUAGUCCCUUCUAAAGAUCCUUAAAAUUAAAACACUAAUCAGGAAUUUAUUUUCUCAUCAAUCCUGCCCUUCAGGUUAUGAGGCCCUUGUGUUUUCACAGCCGCAGGGAGGGCCCUCCAGGGGGAGAUGGGCAUAGGGAACAACGGCUCUGGCUCCAGUCUGGGGAAAGAAAGGAGAGAGAAGAAGGGGAGCGACUGCAGGAGGCAGAGUCAGAUCCAGGUCAGAGGGAAAGAGGGGUGCAGGUAGCUCGGAGAAGGUGUCACCUCUCUGCAUUGGCCCCCUGCCACCCAAAAGGGCUGUUUGCAAAGCCCAGGAACACUGUUCCUUCCAUGGGAAGCCUCUGAGAUGAGUCAGGUCACCCUGAUCGCUGAACAGGGAGUCUACUGCCUGCUUUGCCUCUGUCUGGGUGUGUGAGGGUGGGCAAGUCACUAGCCCUCCCUGAGCUUUGGUUGCUUCAUCAGGACAGUGAGGGGAUUGAAUGAACUCUAAGGCCCCUUCCUGCUCUAACAGGCAACAGACUUUGAUGUGAUCAUUUCAGAAAUAAAGAAAUGGAAAAUCUGUA
Molecule: long non-coding RNA, 1318 nt
Organism: Bubalus bubalis (water buffalo)
Lineage: Eukaryota; Metazoa; Chordata; Mammalia; Artiodactyla; Bovidae
Exons: 2
Source: RefSeq, a predicted model, not a curated record